RNAcentral lists this ribosomal RNA (221 nucleotides) under uncultured Sphingobacteriales bacterium. RNAcentral's name for it is "partial 16S ribosomal RNA". It matches the Rfam family "Bacterial small subunit ribosomal RNA", at positions 1169 to 1382 of the family's 1533-position model. Lineage: Bacteria; Pseudomonadati; Bacteroidota; Sphingobacteriia; Sphingobacteriales. The record is from RNAcentral.
AAGGGUGGGGAUGACGUACAAAUCAGCACCGGCCCUUACGUCCGAGGGCUACACACGUGCUAACAAGUCGGCCGGUAACGAAAGGCGGCUACCUGGUGACAGGAUGCUAAUCUCAAAAGCCGGUCUCAGUUCGGAUCGGAGUCUGCAACCCGACUCCGUGAAGCUGGAAUCGCUAGUAAUCGUGGAUCAGCCAAGCCGCGGUGAAUACGUUCCCGGGCCUU